This is a long non-coding RNA of Amphiprion ocellaris (clown anemonefish), 1853 nucleotides long. Lineage: Eukaryota; Metazoa; Chordata; Actinopteri; Pomacentridae. The record is from Ensembl.
CGAGAUGUGCAGCGGACGAUUAAAGAGGACAUUGACAUCCAUAGAGGUGAGUCAUACACAUUGAUGGAAGCGAUGGCUGUUUUGUGUCAUCUGUGUCAUGUUUGCACUUUGUUCGGGUUCUUUGCAUGUCUAACUCUUUGCUUUGACACACUCUGUCCUUGAGGUGUUGGCUGUUUAGCAUCUGGGUCACGUUUGGACUUUAUCCUGGUCACUUGUCUGCGUCAUUCAUGGCUUUGACAUAAAUUGAAGACAUGGGACUUUGAUUGUUUGCUGAUGUCGCCAUUUUCUUUGUUUUACAUGCCGAGAGACCGAGAUGUGCAGCGGAUGAUUAAAGAGGACAUUGACAUCCAUAGAGGUGAGUCACACACAUUGAUGGAAGCGAUGGCUGUUUUGUGUCAUCUGUGUCAUGUUUGCACUUUGUUCGGGUUCUUUGCAUGUCUAACUCUUUGCUUUGACACACUCUGUCCUUGAGGUGUUGGCUGUUUUCCAUCUGGGUCACGUUUGGACUUAAUGCUGGUCACUCGUCUGCGUCAUUCAUGGCUUUGACAUAAAUUGAAGACAUGGGACUUUGAUUGUUUGCUGAUGUCGCCAUUUUCUUUGUUUCUUUUACAUGCCGAGAGACCGAGAUGUGCAGUGGACGAUUAAAGAGGACGUUGACAUCCAUAGAGGUGAGUCAUACACAUUUACGGAAGCGAUGGCCGUUUUGUGUCGUCUGUGUCAUGUUUGCACUUUGUUCGGGUUCUUUGCAUGUCUAACUCUUUGCUUUGACACACUCUGUCCUUGAGGUGUUGGCUGUUUAGCAUCUGGGUCACGUUUGGACUUUAUCCUGGUCACUUGUCUGCGUCAUUCAUGGCUUUGACAUAAAUUGAAGACAUGGGACUUUGAUUGUUUGCUGAUGUCGCCAUUUUCUUUGUUUCUUUUACAUGCUGAGAGACCGAGAUGUGCAGUGGACGAUUAAAGAGGACGUUGACAUCCAUAGAGGUGAGUCAUACACAUUGACGGAAGCGAUGGCUGUUUUGUGUCGUCUGUGUCAUGUUUGCACUUUGUUCGGGUUCUUUGCAUGUCUAACUCUUUGCUUUGACACAUUCUGUCCUUGAGGUGUUGGCUGUUUUCCAUCUGGGUCACAUUUGGACUUAAUCCUGGUCACUUGUCUGCGUCAUUCAUGGCUUUGACAUAAAUUGAAGACAUGGGACUUUGAUUGUUUGCUGAUGUUGCCUUUUUCUUUGUUUGUUUUACAUGUCGAGAGACGAGAUGUGCAGUGGACGAUUAAAGAGGACAUUGACAUCCAUAGAGGUGAGUCAUACACAUUGACAGAAGCGAUGGUUGUUUUGUGUUGUCUGUCAUGUUUGCACUUUGUUCGGGUUCUUUGCAUGUCUAACUCUUUGCUUUGACACACUCUGUCCUUGAGGUGUUGGCUGUUUAGCAUCUGGGUCACGUUUGGACUUUAUCCUGGUCACUUGUCUGUGUCAUUCAUGGCUUUGACAUAAAUUGAAGACAUGGGACUUUGAUUGUUUGCUGAUGUCGCCAUUUUCUCUGUUUCUUUUACAUGCCGAGAGACGAGAUCUGCAGUGGACGAUUAAAGACGACGUUGACAUCCAUAGAGGUGAGUUUGUUCUUUUCUCACACUUUGCUAUUUUUCUACUUUCCUCUUUUCUCACACUUUGCUAUUUUCACACUUUGUUCUUUUUCCUCUUUUCUCACACUUUGCUAUUUUCACACUUUGUUCUUUUUCCUCUUUCCUCACACUUUGUUCUUUUUCCUCUUUCCUCACACUUUGCUAUUUUCACACUUUGUUUUUUUUCCAUACUUUGUUCUUUUUCCUCUUUUUUCACACUUUGCUAUUUUCACACUUU